CCGAUGGUAGUGUGGGGUCUCCCCAUGUGAGAGUAGGUCAUCGUCAAGC
RNAcentral lists this ribosomal RNA (49 nucleotides) under Pseudomonas flexibilis. The record is from RNAcentral. Lineage: Bacteria; Pseudomonadati; Pseudomonadota; Gammaproteobacteria; Pseudomonadales; Pseudomonadaceae.